UUUGUGUUACGUGUCAAGUGGCAGACUCAUCUUUUAGAAGGAACUGGCAAAUCUCCAGGCUGGUGGGAGGGAUCACACAUGAGCACCUCAGUGACGCACUGUUCUCCAGCUACCAGGAGACCAUCAACUCGCUUCCUGCAGUGAAAAUGGAUAGAGAAUGCUGUGUACCUCAAACACGCGUUGGGCAUUGAGCAGUUCUCAGCUGUUAGAGGAGUAGACCUGGACCCCGCCGACGAUGACUUCUACCACAAGUUUGUCACGGGUAGUGUCUCCAUCCCCUGGCAAAAUGAGAUUUGCUUCAAGAGAAGCUAUAGCAAUGAUGGAGAGGAUCUAUGCUGAACCUGAACCACUGUCUGCCAAAGUGCCACUGAUAUAACAAAGAUAAAUAUUCUACUGUUUUUGUGAACUGUAUUGCAAAUGUAUUAAAAUUAAAUAUAAAAGACAUUUAGUUGAGCAGUUUAAGUACAUUUUUACUUAAACUGUGUGUGUAUAUAUAUACACACACACUAAAAGGCUAUAUUUUCCAAUUAGCCAUAUAAGUACCACUUGAAUCCAGACUUUUCUUUUAUUACAGCCAAUUUUAAACCGUUUUCUUUUUUAUUAUUAUUAUUUUAUAAGCACAGUAUGUUUUUUUA
Long non-coding RNA from Brienomyrus brachyistius, 635 nucleotides. RefSeq lists it as uncharacterized. The record is from RefSeq and is a predicted model, not a curated record. NCBI's taxonomy places the organism in Eukaryota, Metazoa, Chordata, Actinopteri, Osteoglossiformes, Mormyridae. The transcript is spliced from 4 exons.